GUCAUUGAGUAUUCAAUGCUCCUAUGAAUUAAAAAAAGAAAAAUUCAGAUAUAUCUCGAGGGCCGUUGCUUCAAUUUGGUCCAUCCCCACUUAAAUUUUUCAUUUUUUUGGUGAAAAACUUCAGUUUAAAUGGAGAGUUUAAAAGAAAGUACUCAAUAAGAAAAGAGUAGAAACUAAAAAGAGACAAGAAGCUGAUUAUAACAAUGGAGAGGUAGUAAAGCAAGCACAAGUUAUGUUUCUUUUUGCAGGGCUGAAGCAUUAAUGAUGUUCAUUUAUUGAUGUAAAGAUUUCUCAAUAUUCCUUUAGGCAAUGCGAU
Molecule: unclassified non-coding RNA, 316 nt
Filed under: Hevea brasiliensis (rubber tree)
Lineage: Eukaryota; Viridiplantae; Streptophyta; Magnoliopsida; Malpighiales; Euphorbiaceae
Source: RNAcentral